Molecule: transfer RNA, 68 nt
Filed under: Metabraxas rubrotincta
Lineage: Eukaryota; Metazoa; Arthropoda; Insecta; Lepidoptera; Geometridae
Description: tRNA-Glu
Source: RNAcentral
AUUUAUAUAGUUUAAAAAUUAAAACAUUACACUUUCAUCGUAAAAAUAAAAAAAUUUUUUUAUAAAUA